Gymnodraco acuticeps is the source of this 220-nucleotide long non-coding RNA. RefSeq lists it as uncharacterized. NCBI's taxonomy places the organism in Eukaryota, Metazoa, Chordata, Actinopteri, Perciformes, Bathydraconidae. The record is from RefSeq and is a predicted model, not a curated record. The transcript has 3 exons.
CAGACCGUCCAUGAAUGCAGUUUAUUCGUUUCCAGGUGAUGCAGACAGACCAGAGGAUGCUGACCACGAGAGACAGACCUAUUCCUAACAUCAGUGAACUUCAGCAUGGACUCAAAGGAAAGGACAUACCUGAAGGACACAACUGCCUCACCGUUUUCUCAGAGGGGCAAGAAGAAAAUGAAUAGCUGAUUUCCGAUUAAAGACCAAUACAGGACAUUCA